Molecule: ribosomal RNA, 301 nt
Filed under: uncultured bacterium
Lineage: Bacteria
Description: partial 16S ribosomal RNA
Rfam family: Bacterial small subunit ribosomal RNA
Source: RNAcentral
CAGCAGCCACGGGAAUACGUAGGGGGCUAGCGUUGUUCGGAUUUACUGGGCGUAAAGCGCACGUAGGCGGAUCGAUCAGUCAGGGGUGAAAUCCCAGAGCUCAACUCUGGAACUGCCUUUGAUACUGUCGAUCUGGAGUAUGGAAGAGGUGAGUGGAAUUCCGAGUGUAGAGGUGAAAUUCGUAGAUAUUCGGAGGAACACCAGUGGCGAAGGCGGCUCACUGGUCCAUUACUGACGCUGAGGUGCGAAAGCGUGGGGAGCAAACAGGAUUAGAUACCCCAGUAGUCCCUGUCUCUUAUAC